UUUUGUUUGCGUCUAUUCUUGGUUUUCCCCUGUUUUUGGUUUUUCUCCCGAAGCUUUCACCUUACGCGACUCUCUCUCUGAAAUCGUCAAGCGAUGCAUCAGUCCAUUAUCUUCCUUCACGAAUCUUCCUCUGUUUGCUAUGCAUAAAUCCAUUUUCUUCCUUUCGUAUCUACCCGUCUUCCUUAUGGCAAUAUGUGUUUCUCAUCAUCAUUGGUAUAACAUCUGUCCAAUCUUCAUGUGAGUUAUGCGGCCAUUGCUGAGGCGGCUCUUGGCCAAGCCUGAAGUUGCGAGCCAAUAGAGAUAGGAAAGAAAGCGAAGAGAUCAAGGAAGGGGAAGAAAGCUUGGAGAGCCAAACAUAAGCGUUGCCGAAAUCGAAGACUUCUUCAAAAAAUCCGCCAAACACGCGCUCUCCGGUGGCUCCCUCACUGAUCUUCCUAGCGACUCUCUCUUCUACGUCGACAAGUCUAAAGGUACUCGCUGGGACGUUGCUUUCUCCUGGCGAUGGCGUCUAUACUUGGAUGUGUUCCUUGCAUCCAUUUGUUGUUCCUGUUGCGCUUUGCUCUUCCUAUGCUUGGCGAGAGAAAACAGAAGACACUGGACAAAAGAAGAAAAAAUACAAAGCAUCACAUUUGCAAGAUGCACAAAACGGGCCGUUUCCGUAGAUAGAUUUCGUGCCUUUGGUUAUUGGUGAUGGUGUUUAUCUACACAACCAAUCAAUUCAAUGGAUUUUUUCUUUGAUGAAGUGAAUUUUGGAGCUUCUAACUAUGCACAUUCUGCAUAUUCCAUGGUUCUUGUGGCCAUGGCGAGCAUUGCAUCUUUAUUUGUUUUAUCUAAAAGCAAUGGAUUUGUUGGAAUCUUGGUUAUUUCUUUCAAUUGGCCAUCCUCCUAGACAAGGUAAUUCAUCAAUACAUUCCUCCCGACAACGAUACAAAAGUAUGCAUUCUACUAUCAAAAGAGACAACAGUAUUGUUCAAGAUAAUUCAUGUCCAGACUAUCUAGGAAGAUGAACUGGUGUUACCUUUGUUGAUGGUCUUUUAAAGCUUGGCAUCUGCAGUUCUUUGGGAUACCUGGCAGAUGGGGCAAAGAUGGGAAAAAAGUGGUGCUUCUUUAGCUUCAGAGACAGGAAGCACCCAACUGGGUUUAAAAAACAGAGCCACUGGAGCUAGCUACUGGAAGGCCACAAUGAAAGACAGAGAGGUUUACAGUGCUUCAAUAGAGUAGGUUUGAUUCUAAUGCGAAAACCCAAGAUUGGUCUGAAUUUAGAGUCGUCUUUAAUUUUGCGGGGUUUAUAUCUAGACAAGGGGAUAUCGAGAUACAGUUCGUGAAAACUGAGAAAUUCAAUAGGAAUUUAGUUUCAGAUGGCUGCAACAAUGGAAACUGACGAUGACAAUGAGAACAAUAAAGGUAGUAUGUAGGCUUUGGAUCAGAAGUUUGAUCAGUCCAUGGAUGAGGAGGCGGCAGUCUCAAGAAUAUGUACAGAGAAAAGGUCUUGACAGUUACAAUCAAUUGUAGAAGAGGUAUUCUAUCUAACUGAGUCAUACCAAUGGGGAGAUGCAUGGUCUGGAUAUACACCGAGCAUGACCUUUAGGCUUUACUAAUUACACACUGAUGAGAUAAUGUUGUGUGGAGUGAGCUUUUCGAUCUGUUUAGACAUGGUCUGGUAUGUCAUUUAAAUACUUUACUUGGGAAUUCGAUUUAUGAUUUCUGUGCUUAGUUUUAGUUUUGGACUUUCAAGGAUUGAAUUGGAUUAGAUUUUCAAAAGUAGCAUUUUAUUUGUUGAGGUGGAGCAUUUCAUUUCAUUACCUAGCAUUGGAAAUUGUAAACCCAAGAUGUAUGUGGCAAGGUGGUUCCAGGCAUUGGUAACUCUGCCUUGGGAGAAUGAGAUAGAGAUUCGCCUGUUCGAUAUGGAGGAGAAUACGACGUCUCUGUCUGAGGUGUACAAACUUGGUUUUGAGUUUUGGAUCCUUCCAAGUGGGUGGAAUUGUGUCAGUGAAAUGAAAUUUGGAUGCUAUUUCUGUCUGGGUAAAUAAAUACCGAUUUUCAUGUUGGUGGUGUACCAUUUUGAUUCUUCUAUCUAGGUUUGUAUUCAUCUUCGUUUGCACUUUUUAGUUCCCCUGUCAAAUGCUGAAUUUUAAUAUCUAUUUGUUUUUUUUCUCUUUUUUCAUUGUAGCUUUUGAUCACGGAUUGGAAGCUCGCGAUGAGUGGUUUUUUUGUUUGUUUGUUGUCAUUGUGACUGUUUUGGUGUUUUUCCUUUUAAUUUUUCAGUUUUUGACUUUCCGUAUGGGGUGUGGGAUUGGAAUAAAUUUGUCGACAUGAAAACUUACUCCCCUAAGCUCAGUCCUGGGGGGGUCCUGCCUCAAAGUGAUGCUGGUACAUUCAAUGUUGGGGACAGAAGUGAAACCAUGGAGAUCGUUACUUCUCCAAGGAAAGAAGUUGAGAAUGAUAUAGGGAAUGAUGAACAUGAAGAGUGAAAUUGAUGGGGAUAGAGAGAGCAUGUCAAUUGGGAGAACAGUAGUGGUGGAUUGAACAUAUGGAAGUGGAGCUUAAAUGGGAUUGGAGCUAUCUGUUCAUUUCAUGUUGCUGCUGCUACCUUUUGUGUCAGUCACCAUAGAAACAAACAGCAGAAGCAGACCAGAACAUCAGCUUCCCGAUUUAAGUAUUUUCUUAGCCAACUUCUAUAGAUGAAUAUUAGUAAUUUAUUCCAUGGAAAUUUUGAUUAGUAUCCUUAUUGAGGGAACUGUAUUGAAAAGUUGUGGAGGUGAAUUUUGGAUGGAAAUUGAACUGGCUGUGAUUUUUGGAUGCAGACAAACUUUUGUCAUAUCACCGAUCAUUACCUGCCUUCACAAUGAUAUUAUCCCGCUGCAAAGCGCGGGCUGUCAGCUA
Tripterygium wilfordii is the source of this 2883-nucleotide RNA transcript. RefSeq lists it as uncharacterized. NCBI's taxonomy places the organism in Eukaryota, Viridiplantae, Streptophyta, Magnoliopsida, Celastrales, Celastraceae. The transcript has 11 exons. The record is from RefSeq and is a predicted model, not a curated record.